UACGGAGGGUGCAAGCGUUAUCCGGAUUCACUGGGUUUAAAGGGCGCGUAGGCGGCGCGGUAAGUCACUUGUGAAAUCUCUGAGCUUAACUCAGAACGGCCAAGUGAUACUGCAGUGCUAGAGUGCAGAAGGGGCAAUCGGAAUUCUUGGUGUAGCGGUGAAAUGCGUAGAUAUCAAGAGGAACACCUGAGGUGAAGACGGGUUGCUGGGCUGACACUGACGCUGAGUGCGCGAAAGCCAGGGGAGCAAACGGG
RNAcentral lists this ribosomal RNA (254 nucleotides) under uncultured bacterium. RNAcentral describes it as "partial 16S ribosomal RNA". It matches the Rfam family "Bacterial small subunit ribosomal RNA", at positions 524 to 776 of the family's 1533-position model. The record is from RNAcentral.